RNAcentral lists this ribosomal RNA (778 nucleotides) under uncultured bacterium. RNAcentral describes it as "bacterial SSU rRNA". It matches the Rfam family "Bacterial small subunit ribosomal RNA", at positions 8 to 769 of the family's 1533-position model. The record is from RNAcentral.
AGAGUUUGAUCCUGGCUCAGGACGAACGCUGGCGGCGUGCCUAAUACAUGCAAGUAGAACGCUGAAGACUGGUGCUUGCACUAGUCAGAUGAGUUGCGAACGGGUGAGUAACGCGUAGGUAACCUACCUUAUAACGGGGGAUAACUAUUGGAAACGAUAGCUAAUACCGCAUGACAAUUAAGUACUCAUGUACUAAAUUUAAAAGGAGCAAUUGCUUCACUAUGAGAUGGACCUGCGUUGUAUUAGCUAGUUGGUGAGGUAACGGCUCACCAAGGCCACGAUACAUAGCCGACCUGAGAGGGUGAUCGGCCACACUGGGACUGAGACACGGCCCAGACUCCUACGGGAGGCAGCAGUAGGGAAUCUUCGGCAAUGGGGGCAACCCUGACCGAGCAACGCCGCGUGAGUGAAGAAGGUUUUCGGAUCGUAAAGCUCUGUUGUUAGAGAAGAACGGUAAUGGGAGUGGAAAACCCAUUACGUGACGGUAACUAACCAGAGAGGGACGGCUAACUACGUGCCAGCAGCCGCGGUAAUACGUAGGUCUCGAGCGUCGUCCGGAUUUAUUGGGCGUAGAGCGAGCGCAGGCGGUUAUUUAAGUCUGAAGUUAAAGGCCGUGGCUCAACCAUGGUUCGCUUUGGAAACUGGAUAACUUGAGUGCAGAAGGGGAGAGUGGAAUUCCAUGUGUAGCGGUGAAAUGCGUGGAUAUAUGGAGGAACACCGGUGGCGAAAGCGGCUCUCUGGUCUGUAACUGCCGCUGAGGCUCGAAAGCGUGGGGAGC